Molecule: long non-coding RNA, 1137 nt
Filed under: Homo sapiens (human)
Lineage: Eukaryota; Metazoa; Chordata; Mammalia; Primates; Hominidae
Description: HSALNT0018076
Source: RNAcentral
CCAGGGGGUGGAGGAUGGAAGGAGAGGGAAAUAGAUUAUGUUACAAAAAGGCAACAUAAGAGAUGGUGAUUGAUAUACAAACCUCCACAUGUGAUAAAAUGGCAUAGAAUUAAAUACACGUGCACGUGCACACACACACACACACACACACACACAGAGUAAAUGUAAGACAGGAGGGAAAUCUGAUCAAGAUCUAUGGAUUGUACCAUCAAUUUCCUAGUUGUAAUAUUGCACAUACUAGAGUUUUGUAAGAUGUUACCAUUGGAAGGAAACUGUGGAUAAAAGACACAUUGUAUCUCUCUGUAUUAUUUCUUACAACCCGAUGUGAAUCUAUAAUUACCUCUAUUUAAUUAAAUUGUAAAAAGUUAAAUGGAAUCUAACUAAUAUUCUCAUGAUAUAGUUGUUAACCCUGUACAGAAAAAGAACCCAAGUAUGAAGCCAAAGAAAGAGCAGUGGUGAAGCCUGAAAAAAGCUCAAAGCGCGGGACAAAGGCAGAGCUGGAGCUGUUCCUGCACCUGUGGGUGUAUGGGGAGCAGGGGAGAGAAGGACUCAAUUAACUGAGCUUCAGGAUAAUCCAAGGUGAAGAAAAACAAGAGCUGACAAAGAAAAGAAAUGGGUGAGUCAAGACAGGCACUGGGGUCUCUUCCCACAGACCUUGGGUGGGUUCAAUGGAACCUUGAGGCCUGGGUUUAACUGGGCCUAACCCCACCCCAGGGAUGUAUGGGGGUUAAAGGGAUUAAUACUAACCUACUGACUGGUUGGAAGGGCCUGGGAGUCUGGGAAAUUAGUGGGAAAAACAAAACAGAAGGUACUUAGAGUCCCAAUCAAGACAGCAACUUUUAAUACUGAUUUCUUAAUGGCAAUUCACAGCCUUGACCUAACCAGUUCCUUAAUCCUGCUCCAGUAUACAAGCAAGUUCUACAGUGUUUGUUCCUUAAUAGCUCUUUCUGAUUAUCUAGCAUUUUGAUUCAUUUGCUGACCUUCAGAUAUUUAUUGUUGUCCUGGUUGUUUAAAGGGCACUUUAUUUAGGUAUCUUAAUUGGCCUCUUCCAGGUGUUUUCAGCUUAAACAUUCAGGUCUAUUUUUUGUCACUCCUCCUGGUGGCCCACCAGGGUAAGAUAGAUUUGGGGCAACUAAG